GACCCCCUCAGACACCCCCGGAGCCUUCACACACAGCCCCGGACCCCCUCAGACACCCCCGGAGCCUUCACACACAGCCCCAGACCCCGGAGCCCUCACGCACCCCGGACCUUCGUGCACACCCACAGAUCCCCUCAGUUUCCCCUCCAGUUCCUUACACACACACUGCCGGACUCUUCAUACGCACUCCCAUAUCUCCUUAGACACCCCCUGAUCUUUCGCACACGCACACGGACCUCUCACACACCCCGUGGGUCCCUCAUGGACACCCCCAGUUCUCCUCACACGCACCCCCAGAGCUCUCACAUGUUUUGUGUGCCUCAGACCCGUCAUACACCCCUCGAUCCUCUCGCAUUCCUCCUGUUGCUCACACACACCUCCUGGUCCCUCACAUACACCCCCAGACCCCCUAAUAAACCCCCAGUUCUUCACACACCCCACGAAGGCCCUCACAUUCCCCAUUUCCUCAGCCACCCCACGGAAUCACAAGACUGGGUCAGGCUGGAAGGGACCAACACGGGGUCAUCUGGUCUGGUCUCCAUGCUCCGGCAGUGUCAUCCCCAAGCACAUGGCACCGGAUUGUGACCAGACGGCUCUGGAAUGCCUCCAGAGACAGACUCCACACCCUCCCUGGACAAUCUGUUCCCGUGCUCGGUCACUGCACAGGGAAGAAGUUCUUCAUGCUCAGGUGGAAUGUCCCUGUGCAUCAAUUCCUGCCUUUUCUCUCGCCCUGGUGAUUGACCAUCAGCAAACCGAGCCCUGCUCCAUCUCCCUGGAAUCCUCCUCCUGAUAUUUAUGAACAAGGAUGAAGUUUUUUCUCAGCUGCCGAGGCCUCUGAACAGGCCCAUCUCACUCACCUGUCCUCAUGAGAGAUGCUCCAAUGCCCCGAGCAUCCUCAUUUCCCCUGGACCUGGUCACACAUUCCCUGGUUCUUCACACACGCCCUGCACCCCUCACACCCCUGGGCCCCUUCACACACCCCCUGGUUCUUCAGACACCCCUGAACCCCUCACUCCCCCUGGACUCCUUCAAACCCCCCUUGGAUCCCCCUUUUUUACCUUCCAGCCUUUGGAUCUCUGCCAAUUGCGCUGUAAAAAGCACUUGCAUAAUAGAUCUAAUGUCAGUAAUGCCUUUUUCUGUCUCCUCUGCUGCAGCUUUUUGUCCCUGUUCUCUUAAAGUUUAUUCUUUCUCCAGAAGCAUACAUGGUUCUUUGAUUUGAAAACUGAAGUCGUUCUGCCUCCUCUCUCUCACUGGAGCAUAAGUGCCUGGAUAAUCCAUUAAAGCAUAUGAAGUUGGCUCUUUGUGAAAAGAAACCUCAGAUGGGAGUAAAAUACUUCAGCUUCCAUAGUCGGAAUUUAAACAGGGACUCUCCAGUGGGUUUUCAUUGUGUGUUUCUGUUGUCUUUAUACUUGAAGGUAGCAGCUCACAGAAUAUUUUGGGAGGUGGGCUAUGUCUCCAAAACAGUUUCACCUUAUUUAGGUUGCUAAAAAUCACCAAGCAAACAUUCCUUUCAGUCAGGCCUCUUGAGCCAUGCCACUUCUUUAUGUCAAUGACAUUUUUAGUUGGUACUUCUGGGUUCCAAAUCUUUUUUAUUUCCCCUGAUGUGAAGUUCUGUAGGUUUCCCCCCUCUGCAUAGCAAACUCUGACUGCCGACAUCCAUUUUCUAGCUCAACACAUCUCUACUGUUUUAUUUCAAUUAACAACAAACCUGGUGACGUCAUCCAACAGAAAAAGACUGGAACUAUAAAACAAAGCUCGCUUUUCCAUAACAAUUAGAGGAAGAAGUAUUUCCAUUCUAGGGACGUGCACAUGCCUAAAAAAGCUGAGGAUGCCUCAGUAGGUUAAAAAGAUGGGUACACUGAUCCUUCUUUGUUUAAACACUGCUCUAGAAAAACAGAAAAAAAUCAUAUACUUCAAAAUAAUUGGAGAGAGACUUUGAUAGACUCACAAAUUUAUAAAGAAAAAAGAUAAAAUAUUUGAAACAUUUGGCAAAUUUUCAGAGUGUAAAGAAAAUCAAGUGUUUGCAAACUGGAAAAUAAAAGAUUAGGCCAUGGUGAAGUUGUUUUUUUUUUUUGUCAGGGUCCAAAGGCUUGUAAAACAGCGGAUGGUGAAGGGGACGAGUCAAAAUAAAAAAUUUCUGGUCAGAACUGAAGGUAAACAGCACCUAAACAACAGAUGAUACGCAAAGAAAAUCCACCGUGCAUUUUUCAUAAGCAGACACAAACAGUUCUUGAUCAACAUCUGCACAGACUGUCAUGUGAUGAGGUGUUUGGAAUCAGUUUAGACUCAGAAAUGGCAAUUUCUGUGAGUUCCCUGUAUAAGUAAGUGAAAGCAGAGGAGAGAAGCGGCCAGUGAAAUCCCAUGGACGUUACACAGUUGAUGGUGGUGGGAUGACACUGCAAUGUUUAGAUGUUUGAAAGGACAGUCUUCAUGGACUGAGUGGAUGUGUGUUGGCUGCAACUGCAAGGCCCGUGGCCUGCCUGGCGUCAGUUCUUAACAUCCUGUGGUUCCGUGGUUGUAUGAAUGUCAGAUAACGCUAAAGACUGGCUUUGAAGAGAACAAAAAAGCUGAGGAUGUUACCACAGCCCCCAAGAAACACAAGGGAGUGGAGGACACAAGGAAAAGGCUGAGGAGGAAAAUGCAAGCCUCUCAGAAUUGAAAGGAUCAGAAAGAUGAGGAAUUACCACUGUGUGAGAAUCUGGCAGCAACAGCAAGAGGAAAAUGAACUGAGUUUUCAUCAGGGUUCUGGUACUUCAUGUAAUCCACGAGAAAGUGCACUAACAGAGAGAGAUAAGCAUCUCCAGUGGAUGAUUCUGCCACCUGAAGAUAAAAAUGUAAGAUAGAUGGGAAGUGCCUGUCUUUCCAUUGGAGAAGCCACUUUGAUUUUAUGGAAGACAUCUAACUUCUAAACAGGUAAAAGUGGUUGAGAGAAAUCCCACAAAAUUACAUACUCCAGAACAGGAAAGAAAUAUGGAAGAAUUUGUCAGGGAUUACAGGGAAUUACUGUCACCUGACUAUGAAACUACUGCUAAAUUUAAGCAAAAAACCAAAUCCUGAGGCUUGAGGAAACAAGAAACAUUAAGAUUUUUUUUCCUUGUUGUAACUGAUUUUAGUGUCCAGCAGUGGAGUGCUGGAAGGAAGUGUAUUCCUGAUAAUUUUGCUGUCACUUUACUGCAUUUAUUCUUGCUUUGACUUUUUUACGGAUUCAGUGAGUGGCUAGAGACAAAAUGCAGUGAACUGCUGUCAGCCAUCUGCCUGGGACUUCUGGACCACAUGGAGGAGGAACCAUGCUGGAAAGGGAUUCACACAGGGCUAAAAUGCCCUGCAUUGCCUGAAAAAGGAACAAGUCAACUGCUGAAGUGACAAGACUGACACAGGAGCUCAGCACUGGAGCUAAAAGGAGAAAGGGGGUGCUGAAGUACUGCUACAGUUAAUUUCCUGACAAAAAAAGGGUUGUAAGAUCAAUGAAGUUGUUAGCUCUGGCAUGGAAGGGAUGGGGAUAACAAUGGAAGCAUUAUGUAAUUUGAAGAUAUUUUAACUUGUCUUUCUCUUUUUGUGUCUUCUCAGUUUCUAACUUCAGUCUUUCCAAAGAGACUUUUGGAUCUAGACAGGCUCCCCACAGCUUCUUCUGCUUGUUUCCUGCCUCUGACUUUUUCUGAGAUCCUGGCUUGUAAUCUGCUCUCCUCCUACAGUUCCUUAUGGCACUGUCUUAGUGCUAUCCAAAAAUACACGUGUUCCAUAAAGAAACCGCCUUUUUUGCUUGGAACUGAUACUGGUAUCCUGGGUCUUGCUAGAUUGUACCGUCAGCUCAUUAAUUUCCUUCCAGAAGAGCUCUUUUCCAAUGUAAUGAUCCAGGUUAAAUGAGUCAUUCUGGCAGCCAAUUUAACCCAAACUGUGCUGAAGUGCACAGUCCAGGUAGAACUGCAUCUCUGAGUGAUCUGCUGGGUUUUUUGUUACGUGAAUGGUUACACAUGGAUGGUCAUUUGAUUAAAACACCCAAUGAAAUUAUAAGAAAAUUACUUCAGACUGAGGAUAAACUAAGAAUAUGUUUUGGAGUUAAUCUAAUAUAUACAGGUAUCAAAUUCUUGCCCUCCUUUACCCAGUUUUGGCAGCACUUGGAGCUCAGAGCCACAGUUGGUUGGUUGUGCACAAUUUGCACCCCACAACAUUCCCUAUUUGCCAGUGUUUUAUGAUGUGGAAAUGUCCAUGAGAUGACCAAAAGAUGUACAGAAAUUUGAAGUUCUAGAGAAGCUCUAAGCCUUUUAAUUUUUCUUCCAGUUUCGGCCACAAUUCUCCCUUUCCUUUGGCAUUAUGCAUGCAGACAGGCACGCUAAUACCUUUAUUACAUAACUGUUCAGAAAUGCUCCCAUUUCACAGGAAAGAUGCAUCUCAUUCACACACCUUAUGCAAACAAGAUAUAAAUUGCUACACAAGUGAGGACAUGCAACAUUAUGCCUGAAAAGGCUACUCAGCUGCAAUCCUCACGGCCCUUCCCUGUGCCAGAGAGCGAAACCCUCCCUUUGGCUUGUUUUCCUCUCUUUUUGGGGCUGACAAAACUCUGCUUCUUCAUCACUAACGGCGGGGGGAAAAGCUGUGCAAUGAAAAACAAACCCCCACCCUGCCCCAGCUCCACGUUCAAGGUUGGGUUGACCCCUACUGACCGUGCUCCCGAGCAGCAGAUUUGGUGCCAACUGGGCAGUUUUUGGAAAUGCCAGCCCAAAUUACGCGAAUCGCGUGAUUAAGCGUGUGGGUGAGCUUAAGCUCUUGUAAACCUUUAUCAUCACCUUUGCCACAGUCUGAUGCAGCUGUGGAAACGUGGACUGCUCUGCGAGGUGAACAAGGGUUGAGGGAUGGCUUUGAUAUUUACAGAGAUGCGUGUUCUUCCAGCUGGAGGCUUCACACAGCUGCAGCUCAUAAGGAGUUGGCCUCAGCUGCAGAUCUGCAGUCAAAUCACAGAUUUUUCUCCUCAUCUGGGGUUUCUGUCCUCUCAAAAACCCCUUCACUAUGACUUUGAGAAAUAAAUGAUUAAAAGAUCUCUGCUGACUGGUAGAUUUGUGAAAAAAGGCAGGGGCAGAUGAUAUGAUUAUGUUUUGACAGGAGACUGACCUGUGAUAAUUCCAGAAGGUUUUCUUUUAUUAAUACCUAGAGGAGAGGAGCUGAAAGCAAAUUAUUUUUUGAGAUUUUCAGAUACUAAAAUACUGUAACCUUUCAUUAAAAUUUGAUGAACACUAUUCUCCAGGAGAGUGCUAAAACAAUAAUAAUUGUCUCAUCCAUCAGUAGUAAACUAUUAAUAUUGGCUCAAGCAAUGAAUAAGCCAAUUGAGAAAUGAGCCAUCUUCAUUAGUAGGUUCACUAUUCUUAGCAGUUCAUUAUUCUGAGUUCCUUAAAUUCAUUAUUCUAAGGAAGUUUCUAUAUGCAGCAGAGGAUGUACUAAUACUCCAUAACUUGAUUUAAUUAAACUUUGCAUUAAAUUUCAGUAAAUUAAAUACAUUUAUUGAAAAAAAGGAGGAAAUAGAGUGAAGUAAGAAUGGGGAAUACACACAGCAGGUAAGAUGCUGACAGCUGCAUUUCUCUAUUCCAUAGCUUUUCCCCCUCCCCCUGUCUAACUGGUACUUUUCCUGUAAUGCUCCUCACUGCAGGGCAGCUUAGGAGUGUUUUGGCAGGGAGCAGUCUGCUUAUUCUCCCUGGAGACUGCACAGGGAUCAUAAAUCCUUUUGGAGUUCUUAACCCUUAUAUGUAACUGACAGCUUUAAUCUUCUUCAUUACUAAAUUCAAGCAAGAGGCAGUGCAGGCACGCGGCGAGGAGGACACAUGUUCCAAUUGCUGGGCAGCCAGUCACACACUUUCCAAUAUUGUUAUUUAGUGGGUUUCUCAGACAGAACCCACCAUGCACUGGAAGUGUUUUUGAGACACACCAGUGUCCUAACAAACACUUGUGACAGAAGCAGGUCCCUGAACAUUCUUUUGGUGAGGAAUUCUUUGGUUUAAUCACGUUAGUGACUUCUGCCACCUUUUCCCUGAGUUAUAAUUUGUGUUGCACUCCUUCCCCUCAUUCUUUCCCUCUUGGCACAACUGGCACCUCCUCUGUGCCUUCUGCUGUCAGAGGGAACCAGGUGCCAAUAGUAAUGUUUACGUCAGGGUGAUCUGUGAAUGCUGGUGACCUCCUCCUAGGAGGAAAAGAAUGAUGACCCAUUAAGGCAAUCAAGUCAACUGUUUAGAUGACUCUGUGCAAAUAAUUUUUCCAGAUGUCUAAAUACAGCAGAGAAAUCUACCCUGGCAUACCUUACUCCUCACUUAUCACUAUUGUGAUACUAUACCAGUGAGGUUUUUCCACUGGCACAGCACUGUAACAUGUGUAUUUCAGAGCGUUUCAGUGCAUGAGAAAACAUUUCCUGCACAUGAGACAGAAAAGAUAAAUUACAUGUCCCAAGUGGCAUACGGAUUUAUUGUUGCAGAUAGGGGGAAGAUUGAUGUCUUGUGUCUUCUUGUCACGAAACUGCAAGAGCCAUUUGUGAAAGAUACUGGAAUGCUGACGUACAAUGCUUGGGGUUUUUCCACUGUUUUAGCAUGGUUGGUGUUAUUGUUUGACUGACUGUGUGUUUCUGAAGAUGACAGAACAUUGUCUCCUCUUCAGUUUACAGGGUUUUUUCACCCCUUUUACAUAAGGAUUGCUUUCACAGCACUGAUUGCUUAAGGCAAGUGCUAUCUAAAUGUGUUUGAAUGUAUGCAAUCAUCAGAGGCAUAUUUUGCAACUCUUUGUCAGAAUCCAAUAAAUACACAGCAAUUAAAAGGGAGAUUAUGACAAUGUAGUAGGUGAGCAAACAAGUUUCUAAAAAGGACGCUUUCCCCCCUUAAAUGUUUGCCAGAAUAAUUUUUAGAAGAAUCCAGCUGUUCAUAAGCUGCUGUGAGGAUCAGUUGUGUGUUAGAGACUAUAAAAGCACAUUUUAUUCACAGUUCCAGGACCCAGAAACAACGUGAGAAAAUUGAUACACUGCUGAUAAGGUUGGAUGUUAGAGUUUUACCAAGGUCCCAUAUUUCAUUUGAGCACACAAAACCCUCUGAAUGUCAACAAAACAAACACAAACUUCAGGAUGUUUAAACAACCCAAAUUCCUUUAGUGGCAAGCUGGGCUGGCAGUGUGUGGUACCCAAUGAGAGAGCAGAAAGGGAUAUAAAGCUCACCCUGCUAGGUCCUGUACAGGUCAGAUCUCAAAUGAUUUCAAGUGACAAAUUUACUGUCCAUGGUAUGCACCAGGGAAACAGAAAAAUCUUCUAUUUCUGAUUUUAAAAACAUGUAAUAAAGCAAUGUUCCCAAGAAUGGUAGAGACAUAGCAAAACACAGAUUCCUCCAGCUUUAAUCCAAAAACUAAAUUCUGCCUUUUUAAUAUUGUUCAACAUCUGCUACAGCUGUUAAAAUGUCAAUACUGGGUGCUCUUAGGGUUCUGGGAGUUUGAUUUGCUUCUGGCUCCCACUUUUCAUGUGGAGUCACUGAUGGGAAAUUGCCCAGGAGGUCCAGUGCUUGAUGGCAGAUCUGGGAUGUUUUAAGUACUUUGAGAAUACUUCAUUCAUGUUCACUCAGUGCUUAUAUAAAAAGGUGAAUUCCAGUCUACAGGAACAUCUCAGUGAUGCACCAUGUACCAGAAUAGCAGUGACUUCCUAAUAGUUUCUUAGUUUUCUCAGAAGUGUGUAUGUUAUUAGGAAGCUGACUCCUACCUGCUUGAAGGAUUUUAAGGUCUUACUAGGAAAACAGUAAGAAAUUAUAUAUUAUUUGACAUGCAAAUAAGGCUCUUAUAACACAGAGACAACAGAAUAUCAAACAGUAACUCCAGAAAAUGGGUAGGAUAUUUCAGAUAUAUAUUUAUAAAGGACCAUUUUUUACAGGUUGUAUGUAGGAGAUUUGGAUGUCAUCCAGGAUGACUCAAGUUUGUAAGGCUUUUCUGAGUCUGUGACAACUGAAGUGACAUAAAUAUGAAUUAUAAUCACAACAAGCCAGUGCUGCUUUUCAAUGUCUCUAUUGUGCCUUACAACACUUGCUUUACCUUAAGCAGCACAAGUGUCCUUAAGAUACCAUUUCUUAUUCUGGUAUGACAGUCUUCAGUCAUAAAGCUUGUUUGCACAUUGACAACAUCAUUGUAAGUAAUUAAAUCAGAACUAUUUCUUCUCUCAGAAUCCAAGCACUCCAGUUGGUUGAGCUUUCUGAAGGUGGAAAUGUUGCUCUCAGCUCAUAAGGACCUUUAAAAAAAAACAAAAAAACCCAACAAACCAAACAAAAAGCCCAAGCAACAAAAGAAACAACUCCUCUGUAAAUGCUUCUCCAUCCAUAUAAUCAGAAUGAGAGGGGAAAAACCAUCUGAGAAGUAUUCCAACCCACAUAAAGGUUCAACCCACCACUUAGGGUGCUUCACAUGAAGAAAGUGUGAGGAGCAAUUGUAGCAGGAUGCUCUGCCUGGAGUGGGGGUAAAACAACUCUGAUACUGACAGUGACCCUGUCAGUGGUGGAUGGAGAAGGGGGUGGCUCCGUGUUUUCAGUGUUGAAUAACGCUGGGACCAGUCAAACAUCCUGAGAGUGAGGUGAGGAUGUGGCAGGCGUGGUGAAGCACCUGAUAAAGGAAAAACAAGUGGCACUACUGAUAACUUAUCUGUGGCUGCUGAGCUGACAGCUGGCCUGGGGACAUCCCACUGACAGUCCAUCACCUGACACUGCAAAAGCCCAGGUCCACUUUUUAAAGGGAGGGUAUUAUCACACACCCCUUCUUGGAUUGUGUGUGGAGAUUCCUCCCUGGAGAGGGGCUCCCCUCCAGGUUAUCUCUUCAGGUUAAAGACAGAGAUUUAGCCCCAUGUGGGUGUGGAUGAGCAACACCAAACUCUACUUAAAACCUGAUUUUUCUAGCUUUAAUACAAUUGCUUUGAUAUUAUUUCAAAAAUAGUGCACUAUGCUAUACAGUAGUUUUAGCUGCCUGUGUUGUGUAGUCAAGAAUUCUGAUUGAGGUGUUACAGUCCAGUCAUCAUCACAAUACUACCAAAAAUAGGUAAAAAUAAAAACUCCUUAACACCAAUGUAGAAUUAAGAAGCGGGCAUUCUUUAUUCAGCAGGAUGCACAAAAUCUCUGAAAUACUGAGCCUGCUGAGUGCAGAAAAAGCUCCUGUUUAUACACUAUAUUUUGCAUACAUAUUCAUAGGUUUUCCCAGGAAAAACAUACAACUUAUAAUAAUUUCCCUGAUAUCAUUGGCAUGGAGGUGUUCCCUCCCCUCUGCUCAUGCAUUCUUCUGUCCUGGGGGUCUCUGUGGUGGCCCCUGGUUGGUGACCCCAAGUCACACCUGACCACCCAGGGAACUGGUAAAACUUGGCACAGCUGGGCUGGUUGCUUUGCAUUUCUUCUUCUUGCAGAUUGAGCAUUGUGUGGUUCCAAAGGCCAGUGAUUUUUGAAGAAUGAGCAUUGUAUUUGCCCACCAGGUGCAAACUAUCACUCAUCUGGCAGCUAUAAUAAAUAACUUACUUUCAUAUACAUAUGUCUGGUUUGCCAUCCUUAGUCCAAAGGUUCAAUUACACCUAUACAAUCAUUCAAACAUAAAUUGUUGGCCGAGUCUGGGGUUGGGAUUGGAUCCAGCCUCACUCUGAGAAGGAGUUUAGAAAUCCAGGGGGUCCCUUCCACACCUGGUGACUCAGUGGAAGGUUCUCCCUGAAAAACCCUUUCUGCAGCUCCCAGUCUGCUCUGGGCAGUAAUAUUGGUUAUGUCUUUCAACUUUGACCCAUGGGAUAUUCUGAUUUUAAAAAAAAAAAAGUCAAUCCACAGUAUUAAUAUUCCCAGAAUCCAUGACUUGGUGUCAGGAGAAAAAAUUUCCAUAAAAUGUUUUUAGCCUUCUAGACUGUGGUAUGCUGACAUCACAGAGUACCAAUUUCUUUAUCAUCACCUUACAGAUAAUUGCCCCACCUGAACUGGGAAAAAUUAAACACCUUCAUCUUAUUUUAUUAAACACUGAGUCUGAUAGCGUUACAAAAUUCAAUUCCUGAAAUUACAAUGCAAGAUUUUUUUUAAAAAUUUGAGUUAAAUACUAAAUUUCCACUCAGUCUUUCAAGGAAUUUUGAAAAUCACUGCCAGAAGGGUUUAGAUUGAAAGUUGUGUUCCUUCAUAGCUGUCAUAUGUCUGAGAUUUAAAGGACCUUGGAAAUGGUCCAUCUCAGAGUGUACCUGUGAAACUGCAGAACUAUUUUGUGAAGCAAAUGCUGAAAUAAGUUGAUCUCUUCUGUGCUGAUGCAAAAAUAACCAUGUUCCAGGCCACAUCUAUAACAAAUGCUCAUGUGGAAUUGAGAUAGUCUGUAAAACACAAAAUUCAACCUCACCCUUCCUCCCUCUGCUUUGUUUCAGGCAGGGACGUUUCUGGUGUACUCCCUGGGCUGGAAGGAAACUGCAGUUUGUUUUUAGAGCUUUUGCCUUGAAAUCCCUCUGUCCUUCCCCAGCUCCCUUUCCUCCUCAUUGCCAUGUCUGCAGCAGGAUCAGAAGUUUGCAGGGCUGACAGUGUCUGGAGCAGGUGGUGUUCCUGACAAAGGGCUGGCACUUUGUUUUCUCCCUGGUGUGCCAGAUAUCAGCAGUCAGCACCAUGGAGUCAGACCUGCAACUGCUCUCAGUAUUUCAGGUUAAAAAAACCCAAAUCCUGUGGUCUUCUGCAUGCAAGGACUUCAAAGGAAUGUGAAAGAAGCAUACGGCUGUUCAGCAUGUGUGAAACAUGAGUUUAAGACAUCUGAUGGGCUUUUCUGUAAGUUCAUUAAGAUGUUAAUGCAGCAGCGGUAUUUAUCUUUUCAACACUCCGGCAUAUUCUGAACAUCAGGAUUCCAGCUCCUCCUUUAUUACAGAAAAAGGAUUUGUAACCAUGUGUCUACUCAAAAUACCAAAUAAUGCCAAGUAAAAGAACUUUUUCUGGCCCUGGAAGUGGAAAUCUGUGUGGAAUGUUGUAGAAAUGGCAGGUUUUUUGGAGAGGAAAUUUAAAAACCUUUAGGAAACAUAUAAUGUUUUCUUUGCUCGUCUAAUCUUGCCACAAAAACAGUUAAAAGAAGGUGCACUGUGGAUUGUCCCCGGGGAGAAUAUGCUCACAUUUAUAAGGAAUUUCUUGGACAAGUGCUUGCACCCACCAUGGGGUGGAAGAUCUGAUAAGAAACUCUGUGCUUUGACCAAGGGAGGACAUUCUGGAGAACAGUUCAGAAGCCUGGAGACUCCUGCUUGGUCAUUUGGAGCCAUUUCCAAUAAAGUAAACAGAAUAAAGUUUAAUAAAGAAUAAAGUAAACAACAUUUCUGUCACCAGCCUCAUACCAAAAUGGGGACAGCAGUAGGUGCUACAUGUGUGCAGUGAUCCAGGGAUAUUUCCUGAAUGGCAACUAUUGACCAAUUUCAGCUUUGUUUCAGAAGUUUUGGGGUUUUUUCCUCCUAACAGAACAAAAAUUUAGAAGAAAAUCUCUGCAAGCAUGAACAUAAUGUGAGACAAAUAAUUUUUUAGAUUAAAAAGUAGGGGAAAAAAUAACAAAACCAAGGAACUAAUUAAAAACAAUGUUGAUGAUGUUAUCCAACGAGUUCUUUAAAAAGGAGUCUAUGCAGCAGUGGGGGAAGAUGUUGGAAAAUUCUUUUAACUUUAGCACAAUAAUGUUUUGUACCUACAUCAGUGAUUAAUAUGUGGCAAAAUGUCGUAGCAGACUUCUUGAUUUUUGAGACUGUGUGUCAGAGCAAAGAAUGAUAACAGAAGUACAUCUCGACCUGCCCACAUACUUGAGAUAUUUUCAAGGAGAAAAGAUUCAUUAGAAGAUCUGGAACCAUGAAAGGGAAGUAUGGGGAAUGGGAUGUUCCCAAAUGAUCACCAAAGACCCUCAGAAGACCCCUACUCAUAGCCAAAUCAGUCCACUGAAAUAAUUUGAAAAUAUGCAUAUAUUCAGGAAUUGUAAUGAAUAUCCAUCUCAGUGUGGCAGAGUAGGUCACUCCCAAACUAUAAAAAUAUGAAAAUAUUACAAGUAAUCUAUGUCUUUUACCAAUCUGCCCUCACUUUGAAAAGGAUUCAAAUGGAAACAGGAGAAACAAGUUCUAAAUACUAUAGUGUCUUCAGUGGGAGGAAGAGUACUGGGAUGAGAGAAGAGAAAGAAAAGAGAGAAGGAAAAUGUAUCUGACAAUUCAUUUCUAGUCAAUUUUCAAAAAUAUCCCUUUUGUCAGUGAAAAAAGUUUUUUGUCAACCCAUCCAAUUCCUCUAAAACUACCGAAGCCACACCUCCCUUUUUCCUCCCGUGGGUUGGAUCACCUUUGCCUGUCAAUGUGCCACAACUUCUAAAACCAGAGGAACACCCAGCCUUGUCCUCUCCAUUUCCUGCUACAAGAAAGAGAGGUCAGGCUGAGUGUCAGCUGUGAGUCAGGGCCUUCAGACGUGCCCUCCUCUUCCCCUCUACGGUGCUCCUGGAUCCAGGGAGCACUCUGUGCUAAUUCCAAGGGGCUGGAUGCUGGGUGCCCCUCACUCAGCCACCUGCAGUCCCCUCCCUGAAAGGGAGCACACAGAAAUGACAAUUAGAAAGUUAAUACGUCACAGGAAUGAAUCCAUUGAUGCCCAUCCAAGAAUUUAAUCAACAGGAUGUGUUUUCUUCAACUGAGAUGUCUCAUUAAUUAAUUACUGCGAUUCAAGGUUCUCAUGUGUUGAGAAAAUGUGCUUGGUUACUUACAGGGUAAAGCAAAACAGUUUCAGCUGGGAGAGGUGAUUUGCCCUGCUAAUCUGGGCCAUGGUUAACCCAGGGUUUAGUCACUGAAAAUAAAUACCAUUCCAGUAACUUCCUGAGCAGGAGGUCUGUCUGGUUUAUCUUUCAUGAAAAAUGAAAUUGUCCUGCUUCAUUGAAUCUGCUGCAGUAAUGUGAGAGUUCACUGAUAACAGAUGUUACAGAGAUCCUACAGUACUACUCUUAGUAAGUCAAGGUUUUAAACCUGCCUUCAAUGUUCCUAGGCUUGUGGGAGUUUUGCGUGGGCUUUUGGUUUGGUUUGUUGGAUUGGUUUUUGGGGGUUUUUUGUUUGUUUGUUUGGGGUGGUGUUUUGUUUGUUUUUUUGGGGGUUUUUGUUGUUGUUUUUUUUGGGGGGGUGUGUGGUUUUUUUGUUGGUUUUUUGUUGUUGUUGUUUUUUUGGGGGGGGGGGUUGGUGGGGUUUUUUUUGGGUUUUGGAGUUUUUUUGUGACAAGCAUGAAUAUGAAUCUUUAAAUAAGUUAUCUGUAAAACAGUUUGAUAGCUCUAUGCAGAUUGUUAUACUGGGAAAGUCUGCUCAGUCAUGGUUAUCAUAGAUGGACAAUAUAUAUAACCAUACAUAAAGGGAAAUAAAUAACAAGAAAGCUAAUAUUAAGUAUAUAAACACAUUAAGAUCAUCAACAGGUGGCUAUAUAACAACUAGGUAUCACAUUUUUUCUGUGACUUUCCAUGUUCUCUUCAAGGUUUUCCUGUUGUCUCAGGUUAGACAAGAGGUCAGACUGUUUUUUACAGUGUUUGCAGUAGCAGAAUAAGAACUCAGUCCUUCCUGAAACUCUGAAGUCCUGCUGUAAUAUUGAAAAAAAUUCCAUUGGUAUAAGCCAGGAUGAUUAAAAAAAACAAAACUAGCUGUUCUCCCUCCUCACCACCAUAUUUAAGGCGUAUCCAGGUUUUGGGAUGAUCACCAGUCUUAAACAACUUUCUGGCCUUUAAAUCAAACUGGUAAAACAGAACAUGCUCUUGAGUCAAAGGGGAAAGAUAAAUCUGUCACUUGUAGGAACUGGGGCUGAAAUAUCAUUAUAGAUGAAAAUUACUCCAUUUCAGAGGAGAUUUAGAGAAAUUUUUCUAGUCUUUGUAGAUUUUUUCAGCUAAAAAGGCAAAAAUGUUGGAACAGCAGGACCCUAGAAUCAGGUAUUUGAACUGAAUUUGGGUGACAGGUUUCACCUUGUAAGAAAUAGGAGGGUAAAACAAAUCCUGUGCGGAAGAGAAAUUUCAACAGCAUCUGACCUUCAUAAAGAAAGCUGUGCCUGUUUGUCUCAGUCCUGUAUACUGAAAGGUCACAUGGCGAUAAGAGCACCUUAUUAUGACUAAACUGUUGAAUGUAUUUGUGAUAAGCUGGUUCUUUUCUUUCUUAUCCUUCUCAUUAACUAAUUAAUGAGAGCUAUUGUUAUUUCAGCCUACAUGGUUGAAAGAAAAGAGUAAUCCAUGACAUUAAUUUAAGGAGGGAAACUUAUGAAAGACUUGCCUUGAACAGAUUUUUCAGAGACCAGGACUUGGGCUCCACACACUUAGCUUGGCUUCCAGACUUGGAUACAAAUAUAUCUUAAAUAAUUUUCAGGAUUUUGAAAUAAGGUAGUAAGUACCCAAAAAUGAAAUAGACAUUUUAAAGACUUGCAAAAGCAAAUAGGUAGAGUACCUUGGAGAGUGAUGAAAUGCUAUUAAAGAUCACAUUGAAAUAAUAUUAAAAGUCCUAAAAUCAUGAGACUACUAGAAAAAAAAUAACUAGGGGGAAAUUAAUCUUUCUGUGUGUGCAAUGUAAUAUCAAUGAUGGACAGUAAAUAAUUCCUGGCUGAAUAUUCAUUUUGUCAUAAUCAUCUAUUCUGGGAACUGCAAAAGAUGGGAUUGGUCUGUUCUCUAUAAAAAUACCCUAAAUAUUUCUUUUCAAUUAAUGGUAUUUACAAAAGAACAUAGACUACCUAAAAUACAGGUUACAGACCUAAAAUACUUUUCUGCACUUUUGGAAAUAAGUGCUCUAAGCUGAACUAAGUUAAGAAGCAACCUAAUCUGGAAUAACAUAUAGGUAUAAGAAGAGUACAGAGAAUCAAUUACAUAAUUUUCUGCCUAUUUUGCUAAAUCAUAACCUGGAACCAUCACACAAGAGAAGAUGUGUCUCUCACAGUCAAAAUUGGAGAUAUUUUUAUGCAGGAGAAGUCCUGAAUUUAAAGAUGCACUUUGGGAACAGCAGCAAAUAUAAUAACAAUUAACCUAAGCAAGUCUAUGUUAAACAAAAACAACCAACAAAAAAAAAACCUCAUAAAAAUAAAAAUCUAAACCAAUCAAACAAACAAACAAACCACCAACAAAACACCAACCAAACUUCAUUAAUCAUCUGCAUAUACUUAGUAUAUAAAAUUUAUUGUUGUUUAAAGCCUCUUGGUAUGAUGUUUUUGCUGCUGAAAUAUGUGUAAUUGUAAAUGAGGAUUGUAAUAAACCAAGUUAUGGGCACUAUAAAAAAAAGGCCUCAGACAAUGAGAUUUGAUUGAUAUGUACUUAUUUUUUCCAGGGAAUCACCACCUUUUCAAACAGGUUGAGAAUGGUGAUUUAGAGUUGUGGAAGUUGGGGCUCUCCAGGGACUAAGAGAUGUUCACCAGUUGAUUUAAGUGAAUGGUUUUGUGGCUUGUGGGGCUAUAAACUGACCUUCUAAAACAGAAAUAAAAAUGUCAGACUGGAUCUGAUUAAUUUUAAGGGUUAAUUUUUAAAGCAAAUGACAAUGGUUUAGUUGAAAAAUGCCCAGAUUUUCCAAAUCUGGGGAAAGGCCUUGGAAGCAGCUGCUCUGUGCGGCAUGGAAGCUCCUCUACACAGAGAUCCUGACUCACACUUCUUAGGGCAGUGACAACUUUUACUGCCACUAUCUCAGUAAAACCCUUUGAACACUGUGCUUUUCCUUAAACUUAAUUAGACUACCUGGAAAAGCGAGCCCUUUCUCCCUGGGUUCAUGUUCUUGGAAACACAGAAUCAGUUAGGCUGGAAAAAACCCUUAAAAACAUUGAGUCCAGUCACUGACAAGGCCUGCACUAAACCGUGUCCCCAAGUGCCUCAUCCAUAGACUUUUUCAGAUCCCUCCAGGGAUGGUGACUCAACCACUUCCCUGGCCAGCCUGUUCCAAGGCCUGACAACCCUUUGGGUGAAGAAAUUUCCCCUAAUUAUCCGAUCUAAACCU
Long non-coding RNA from Passer domesticus (house sparrow), 15907 nucleotides. RefSeq lists it as uncharacterized. Lineage: Eukaryota; Metazoa; Chordata; Aves; Passeriformes; Passeridae. The record is from RefSeq and is a predicted model, not a curated record. The transcript has 3 exons.